Molecule: ribosomal RNA, 437 nt
Filed under: uncultured Oscillospiraceae bacterium
Lineage: Bacteria; Bacillati; Bacillota; Clostridia; Eubacteriales; Oscillospiraceae
Description: bacterial SSU rRNA
Rfam family: Bacterial small subunit ribosomal RNA
Source: RNAcentral
ACGGGAGGCAGCAGUGGGGAAUAUUGGGCAAUGGGGGGAACCCUGACCCAGCAACGCCGCGUGAAGGAAGAUGGCCUUCGGGUUGUAAACUUCUUUUACCAGGGACGAACACAAUGACGGUACCUGGAGAAAAAGCAACGGCUAACUACGUGCCAGCAGCCGCGGUAAUACGUAGGUUGCAAGCGUUGUCCGGAUUUACUGGGUGUAAAGGGCGUGUAGGCGGAGCUGCAAGUCAGAUGUGAAAUCCCGGGGCUCAACCCCGGAACUGCAUUUGAAACUGUAGCCCUUGAGUAUCGGAGAGGCAAGCGGAAUUCCUAGUGUAGCGGUGAAAUGCGUAGAUAUUAGGAGGAACACCAGUGGCGAAGGGGACUUGCUGGACUGUAACUGACGCUGAGGCACGAAAGCGUGGGGAGCAAACAGGAUUAGAUACCCUGGUA